GAGUUUGAUCCUGGCUCAGGAUGAACGCUGGCGGCGUGCCUAAUACAUGCAAGUCGAGCGAACGGACGAGGAGCUUGCUUCUCUGAUGUUAGCGGCGGACGGGUGAGUAACACGUGGAUAACCUACCUAUAAGACUGGGAUAACUUCGGGAAACCGGAGCUAAUACCGGAUAAUAUUUUGAACCGCAUGGUUCAAAAGUGAAAGACGGUCUUGCUGUCACUUAUAGAUGGAUCCGCGCUGCAUUAGCUAGUUGGUAAGGUAACGGCUUACCAAGGCAACGAUGCAUAGCCGACCUGAGAGGGUGAUCGGCCACACUGGAACUGAGACACGGUCCAGACUCCUACGGGAGGCAGCAGUAGGGAAUCUUCCGCAAUGGGCGAAAGCCUGACGGAGCAACGCCGCGUGAGUGAUGAAGGUCUUCGGAUCGUAAAACUCUGUUAUUAGGGAAGAACAUAUGUGUAAGUAACUGUGCACAUCUUGACGGUACCUAAUCAGAAAGCCACGGCUAACUACGUGCCAGCAGCCGCGGUAAUACGUAGGUGGCAAGCGUUAUCCGGAAUUAUUGGGCGUAAAGCGCGCGUAGGCGGUUUUUUAAGUCUGAUGUGAAAGCCCACGGCUCAACCGUGGAGGGUCAUUGGAAACUGGAAAACUUGAGUGCAGAAGAGGAAAGUGGAAUUCCAUGUGUAGCGGUGAAAUGCGCAGAGAUAUGGAGGAACACCAGUGGCGAAGGCGACUUUCUGGUCUGUAACUGACGCUGAUGUGCGAAAGCGUGGGGAUCAAACAGGAUUAGAUACCCUGGUAGUCCACGCCGUAAACGAUGAGUGCUAAGUGUUAGGGGGUUUCCGCCCCUUAGUGCUGCAGCUAACGCAUUAAGCACUCCGCCUGGGGAGUACGACCGCAAGGUUGAAACUCAAAGGAAUUGACGGGGACCCGCACAAGCGGUGGAGCAUGUGGUUUAAUUCGAAGCAACGCGAAGAACCUUACCAAAUCUUGACAUCCUUUGACAACUCUAGAGAUAGAGCCUUCCCCUUCGGGGGACAAAGUGACAGGUGGUGCAUGGUUGUCGUCAGCUCGUGUCGUGAGAUGUUGGGUUAAGUCCCGCAACGAGCGCAACCCUUAAGCUUAGUUGCCAUCAUUAAGUUGGGCACUCUAAGUUGACUGCCGGUGACAAACCGGAGGAAGGUGGGGAUGACGUCAAAUCAUCAUGCCCCUUAUGAUUUGGGCUACACACGUGCUACAAUGGACAAUACAAAGGGCAGCGAAACCGCGAGGUCAAGCAAAUCCCAUAAAGUUGUUCUCAGUUCGGAUUGUAGUCUGCAACUCGACUACAUGAAGCUGGAAUCGCUAGUAAUCGUAGAUCAGCAUGCUACGGUGAAUACGUUCCCGGGUCUUGUACACACCGCCCGUCACACCACGAGAGUUUGUAACACCCGAAGCCGGUGGAGUAACCUUUUAGGAGCUAGCCGUCGAAGGUGGGACAAAUGAUUGGGGUGAAGUCGUAACAAGGUAGCCGUAUCGGAAGGUGCGGCUGGAUCACC
RNAcentral lists this ribosomal RNA (1538 nucleotides) under Staphylococcus aureus subsp. aureus CIG290. RNAcentral describes it as "16S ribosomal RNA". It matches the Rfam family "Bacterial small subunit ribosomal RNA". Lineage: Bacteria; Bacillati; Bacillota; Bacilli; Caryophanales; Staphylococcaceae. The record is from RNAcentral.